GUACCCCGAGGAAAAGAAAUCAACCGAGAUUCCGAAAGUAGCGGCGAGCGAAAUUGGACUAGCCCUUAAGCUUUACACGUGUUAGACGAACGGUCUGGAAAGUCCGACGAUACAGGGUGAUAGUCCCGUAGUUGACGACGUGUGUUCAGUGAAAUCGAGUAGGGCGGGACACGUGAUAUCCUGUCUGAAUAUGGGGGGACCAUCCUCCAAGGCUAAAUACUACUGACUGACCGAUAGUGAACCAGUACCGUGAGGGAAAGGCGAAAAGAACCCCUGUGAGGGGAGUGAAAUAGAACCUGAAACCGUGUACGUACAAGCAGUAGGAGCAGGCUUUGUCCUGUGACUGCGUACCUUUUGUAUAAUGGGUCAGCGACUUAUAUUCAGUGGCAAGGUUAACCAUCUAGGGGAGCCGUAGGGAAACCGAGUCUUAACUGGGCGUUCAGUCUCUGGAUAUAGACCCGAAACCAGGUGAUCUAGCCAUGGGCAGGUUGAAGGUUGAGUAACAUCAACUGGAGGACCGAACCGACUAAUGUUGAAAAAUUAGCGGAUGACUUGUGGCUAGGGGUGAAAGGCCAAUCAAACCUGGAGAUAGCUGGUUCUCCCCGAAAGCUAUUUAGGUAGCGCCUCGGACGAAUACUACUGGGGGUAGAGCACUGUUAAGGCUAGGGGGUCAUCCCGACUUACCAACCCUUUGCAAACUCCGAAUACCAGUAAGUACUAUCCGGGAGACACACGGCGGGUGCUAACGUCCGUCGUGGAGAGGGAAACAACCCAGACCGCCAGCUAAGGUCCCAAAUUACUACUAAGUGGGAAACGAUGUGGGAAGGCUCAGACAGCCAGGAUGUUGGCUUAGAAGCAGCCAUCAUUUAAAGAAAGCGUAAUAGCUCACUGGUCGAGUCGGCCUGCGCGGAAGAUGUAACGGGGCUAAGUAGUAAACCGAAGCUGCGGCAAUGUGCUUUUGCACAUUGGGUAGGGGAGCGUUCUGUAAGCGGUUGAAGGUGUGUGGUAACGCAUGCUGGACGUAUCAGAAGUGCGAAUGCUGACAUGAGUAACGAUAAAGGGGGUGAAAAACCUCCUCGCCGGAAGACCAAGGGUUCCUGUCCAACGUUAAUCGGGGCAGGGUAAGUCGACCCCUAAGGCGAGGCCGAAAGGCGUAGUCGAUGGAAACGGGUUAAUAUUCCCGUACUUCUUACAAUUGCGAUGGGGGGACGGAGAAGGCUAGGUGGGCCUGGCGACGGUUGUCCAGGUUCAAGUGCGUAGGCUUGAGAGUUAGGUAAAUCCGGCUCUUUUUAAGGCUGAGACACGACGUCGAGCACCUACGGGUGUGAAGUCAUUGAUGCCAUGCUUCCAGGAAAAGCCUCUAAGCUUCAGAUUGUAAGGAAUCGUACCCCAAACCGACACAGGUGGUCGGGUAGAGAAUACCAAGGCGCUUGAGAGAACUCGGGUGAAGGAACUAGGCAAAAUGGUACCGUAACUUCGGGAGAAGGUACGCUCUCGACGGUGAAGUCCCUCGCGGAUGGAGCUAUUGAGAGUCGCAGAUACCAGGUGGCUGCAACUGUUUAUUAAAAACACAGCACUGUGCAAAAUCGUAAGAUGACGUAUACGGUGUGACGCCUGCCCGGUGCCGGAAGGUUAAUUGAUGGGGUUAGACUUCGGUCGAAGCUCUUGAUCGAAGCCCCGGUAAACGGCGGCCGUAACUAUAACGGUCCUAAGGUAGCGAAAUUCCUUGUCGGGUAAGUUCCGACCUGCACGAAUGGCGUAAUGAUGGCCACGCUGUCUCCACCCGAGACUCAGUGAAAUUGAAAUCGCUGUGAAGAUGCAGUGUACCCGCGGCUAGACGGAAAGACCCCGUGAACCUUUACUACAGCUUGGCACUGAACAUUGACCCUACAUGUGUAGGAUAGGUGGGAGGCUUUGAAGCACGUACGCCAGUAUGUGUGGAGCCGUCCUUGAAAUACCACCCUUGUAGUGUUGAUGUUCUAACGUCGACCCCUUAUCGGGGUUGUGGACAGUGCCUGGUGGGUAGUUUGACUGGGGCGGUCUCCUCCCAAAGAGUAACGGAGGAGCACGAAGGUGGGCUAAUCACGGUUGGACAUCGUGAGGUUAGUGCAAUGGCAUAAGCCCGCUUGACUGCGAGAAUGACAAUUCGAGCAGGUGCGAAAGCAGGUCAUAGUGAUCCGGUGGUUCUGAAUGGAAGGGCCAUCGCUCAACGGAUAAAAGGUACUCCGGGGAUAACAGGCUGAUACCGCCCAAGAGUUCAUAUCGACGGCGGUGUUUGGCACCUCGAUGUCGGCUCAUCACAUCCUGGGGCUGAAGUCGGUCCCAAGGGUAUGGCUGUUCGCCAUUUAAAGUGGUACGCGAGCUGGGUUUAGAACGUCGUGAGACAGUUCGGUCCCUAUCUGCCGUGGGCGUUGGAAGAUUGAAGGGGGCUGCUCCUAGUACGAGAGGACCGGAGUGGACGAACCUCUGGUGUUCGGGUUGUGUCGCCAGACGCAUUGCCCGGUAGCUAAGUUCGGAAUCGAUAACCGCUGAAAGCAUCUAAGCGGGAAGCGAGCCCUGAGAUGAGUCUUCCCUGAUACUUUAAGUAUCCUAAAGGGUUGUCGGAGACUACGACGUUGAUAGGUCAGGUGUGUAAGUGCUGUGAGGCAUUGAGCUAACUGAUACUAAUUGCCCGUGAGGCUUAACCAUACAACACCCAAGGGGUUU
This 2706-nucleotide ribosomal RNA is filed under the name Vibrio parahaemolyticus. RNAcentral's name for it is "bacterial LSU rRNA". It matches the Rfam family "Bacterial large subunit ribosomal RNA". Lineage: Bacteria; Pseudomonadati; Pseudomonadota; Gammaproteobacteria; Vibrionales; Vibrionaceae. The record is from RNAcentral.